AGUUUGAUCCUGGCUCAGGAUGAACGCUAGCUACAGGCUUAACACAUGCAAGUCGAGGGGAAACGACAUUGGAAGCUUGCUUCCGAUGGGCGUCGACCGGCGCACGGGUGAGUAACGCGUAUCCAACCUGCCCACCACUUGGGAAUAACCUUGCGAAAGUAAGACUAAUGCCCAAUGACGUUGAAAGAAGACAUCUGAUUUCAACUAAAGAUUCAUCGGUGAUGGAUGGGGAUGCGUCCGAUUAGCUUGUUGGCGGGGUAACGGCCCACCAAGGCAACGAUCGGUAGGGGUUCUGAGAGGAAGGUCCCCCACAUUGGAACUGAGACACGGUCCAAACUCCUACGGGAGGCAGCAGUGAGGAAUAUUGGUCAAUGGGCGAGAGCCUGAACCAGCCAAGUAGCGUGCAGGAUGACGGCCCUAUGGGUUGUAAACUGCUUUUAUAAGGGAAUAAAGUGGGGCUCGUGAGCUCCUUUGCAUGUACCUUAUGAAUAAGGACCGGCUAAUUCCGUGCCAGCAGCCGCGGUAAUACGGAAGGUCCGGGCGUUAUCCGGAUUUAUUGGGUUUAAAGGGAGCGUAGGCCGCAGGUUAAGCGUGUUGUGAAAUGUAGGGGCUCAACCUCUGCACUGCAGCGCGAACUGGCUUGCUUGAGUACGCACAACGUGGGCGGAAUUCGUGGUGUAGCGGUGAAAUGCUUAGAUAUCACGAAGAACUCCGAUUGCGAAGGCAGCUCACGGGAGCGCAACUGACGCUGAAGCUCGAAAGUGCGGGUAUCGAACAGGAUUAGAUACCCUGGUAGUCCGCACGGUAAACGAUGGAUGCCCGCUGUUGGCUUGAAUUAGUCAGCGGCCAAGCGAAAGCAUUAAGCAUCCCACCUGGGGAGUACGCCGGCAACGGUGAAACUCAAAGGAAUUGACGGAAGGGCG
RNAcentral lists this ribosomal RNA (923 nucleotides) under uncultured bacterium. RNAcentral describes it as "bacterial SSU rRNA". It matches the Rfam family "Bacterial small subunit ribosomal RNA", at positions 10 to 923 of the family's 1533-position model. The record is from RNAcentral.